Molecule: ribosomal RNA, 422 nt
Filed under: uncultured bacterium
Lineage: Bacteria
Description: bacterial SSU rRNA
Rfam family: Bacterial small subunit ribosomal RNA
Source: RNAcentral
GGGUCCGCACAAGCGGUGGAGCAUGUGGUUUAAUUCGAUGCAACGCGAAGAACCUUACCAGGGCUUAAAUGUAGUGGGACAGGUCUAGAGAUAGACCCUUCUUCGGACUCAUUACAAGGUGCUGCAUGGUUGUCGUCAGCUCGUGCCGUGAGGUGUCAGGUUAAGUCCUAUAACGAGCGCAACCCCUAUCGUUAGUUGCCAGCGAGUAAUGUCGGGAACUCUAACGAAACUGCCAGUGCAAACUGUGAGGAAGGUGGGGAUGACGUCAAAUCAUCACGGCCCUUACGUCCUGGGCUACACACGUGCUACAAUGGCCGGUACAGAGAGCAGCCACUUCGCAAGAAGGAGCGAAUCUAUUAAAACCGGUCUCAGUUCGGAUCGGAGUCUGCAACUCAACUCCGUGAAGCUGGAAUCGCUAGUAA